UAGCCCACAAGUUACUUAAACUGGCAUGCCCAUUGUUUUUACAAUGAAUUAAAUGGCUUUUUUUUACUGCGUUUGCCACAGUAUUCAAUCCUACACGUUAUUUUACUACAGUACAGUAGGCGGCGGUAUACUGUACUGUGCAGUUCGUGUCCGCAUCGUCAUACGCGCCAGUAUUGCUGGAAGACUGCAGGAACAGAACCCCCUGGAAAGAUGAGUUCCUUAUUAAAGAAAGGCUUGAUGCUGUUUACUCCACACUCUUAGGCUGACUUUGUAUUAUUUGUCUGUGAAGACAGUUCACAGUUUCUGAAUCCCAUCAAGAAUGAAGACCUGCAGGCCACCAUAUUGAGAUGGUCCGAUGUCAUGAUAUGGCGCUUUUCCAAUGUAGGGUACAACUUGGCUCGGCACGAUGCAGCUCAGCUCGCUUUCGUUGCUUUUCCAGUACAGUUUAGUGUCGCUUCAGAGUGGGUGAGAUUAUAGGCAGGGGUGCACAUAACUGGUGCGUAUGCUCAAAUAGAAAAAAUUCUAGCGUACCAACGUUGCUGGAAUUUUGUUACAUAGUUAGCUAAUUUACUUUGACAUAAGAGAUUUCUUCGUGCAUCAGUGGUAAGAUAAUUAAUGUGUGUUGUUAGCAGUGAUCCGCAUCUCAAUGCUUCAGACAGCUUGCUAGUACAAGUAUACAUUUAUAUGAGUUAGGCUAGUAGUUAUUUAUAAAGAUUAGAUAAGUAAAAAACAAUAACCAGGGUUAUUUUAUGUACAUCAUUGUCUACCAUGUUUAAACAAAAGCGAUAUGGCAAAGAGAGUAGUCAGGAGAAAAGUGAUAAUGUCAGCAUGUAGGAUGUCUGUGCUAUGAAUAGUGUGAGUACCAAGUAACAUCUCCAGGUACUUCUUUGAGAACCAGGACAAAAAAAGUUAUGUGCACCCCUGAUUAUAGCCUUAUUGUUAAAGUUGCGUCCUCUCUACUGCCGUAACAUCAUCGUAAAUGUGAUACAAACACACACACACACACACAACAUGGAGCAACAGAGCAUAUUAAUGGAAUGCAGCCACAAAAUCAAAAUUGACAGCCACAAGUAGAUUUUCCACUACCUCUCUCACAUGACAGGUUCUAUACAAACACCCGUGUCAUCAGUACCUGUACUCCGCUGACAGAACAUUUACGCCUAUACUUUUGGUGCGUUUUGAAUGCGGAGCCAUGCGCAAAGUUACAAAACUGCCAUCCAGACAUGGGCGCGGUGGUGUGCUCUGCAUUUUUGUAACUUUGCACAUGGCUUCGCAUCCGAAACCCAUUACCCCUUCCCCAAAAGUGAGCUGUGCUGAACUGGGUCAUACUAUGCAAUGGAAAAGCGCCAAAAGUGUCCUACUUCCUGGCUUGAAUGAUUUAGAAUUUUCAGCGUUGGACUUGUGUUCCGCGUGUUUGGCCUCUUUAGCACUUGCUGUUUGAAAGUCAUUGCUUGCAACAGAUUGAGUGAAUGUCAUUCUGCAUUUCUGUUUGCAUUGCUUUGCUUGCAUUUGAAUCCUUUGCAAUAAUAAAAGUUUUACAUUUGA
Molecule: non-coding RNA, 1545 nt
Organism: Paramisgurnus dabryanus
Lineage: Eukaryota; Metazoa; Chordata; Actinopteri; Cypriniformes; Cobitidae
Source: RefSeq, a predicted model, not a curated record